UGUAGUUUCUUCAGUUUUUCAUGCUACAGCCAGUACAGGCAGCCUGUAGACGAGUUGUUGUAGGCAGCCUGUAGACGAGUUGUUGUAGGCAGCGAGGUUAUGUUACAGUUAGUUUGGCCGUCUGCUGCUUCGUGUCGAAGUUUGUUUGGGUGCAGGCUGUGUAAGAAUCUGUGUGUUGGCCAAAGGGUUUCAUCGAAGUUUCCUUGUGGCUCGGAGGCUCCAAUCGACUGCUCCAUACCGUCACGACGUCGAGAACCGGUACAGCCUAUCCGCCUACGACGUUCAAAGUCGUGUCCAGGAUUCAAGGAAACCGUGACUCCUGGCUGCAGCCUUCAGGAGCGCUCGCCACUGGACGUUCAUCGUCCCCGUUUGUCAUGGUGUUCCAGUGAUUCUAGAUGGUGACCGACGUCCGUGACUUUUUUUGUUGUCGCAGUGAUGGCUACAGCAGAGGGCUUGAAAGUGAUGACGUCAAAACGGCCAGGGAGUAGUAAGUUGACAUCAGAUUUCUAUUUUUGGAUCCACUAAGGUGUGACUUUGCUAUUGCCUAAGUAUAUGGGUGCAUAGCAACCAACUCAUGUCGCAAGCAGGUGUGACUUUUAUUU
This is a long non-coding RNA of Sycon ciliatum, 602 nucleotides long. RefSeq lists it as uncharacterized. The record is from RefSeq and is a predicted model, not a curated record. The transcript has 3 exons. Lineage: Eukaryota; Metazoa; Porifera; Calcarea; Leucosolenida; Sycettidae.